Molecule: long non-coding RNA, 401 nt
Filed under: Vigna radiata
Lineage: Eukaryota; Viridiplantae; Streptophyta; Magnoliopsida; Fabales; Fabaceae
Description: long non-coding RNA (VRAD_LNC016480)
Source: RNAcentral
GGGUGUGCAAAGGGUUUACAAAAGGUGUACACUCAUUUUCCAUCUUUCUACAAAAUAUGUGGAAAGGUUGUAGAAUGGUGUACAAAGGGUGUAUAAAGGGUGUAGAAAGGGUAUAUAAAGGGUGUACAAAGGGUGUACAAAGGGGGUACAAAUGAUGUACACCCUUUAUACAAGGUGUACACAAAUUGCAAAAAGAAUAAAAUAAAGCAAAAUAAAAUUGAUCAGUGGCAAAAGAGCACAAAGAUGAAUGGAGGUUGAUUUAUGAGAUGAUUAUGCUAUUGGGGUUCGACUUCACCAAGUUCUCUCUAAUGUAUAUAAGAAUUCUUCAUUAUUCAUUAAUGCCAACGUCCCGCACUAAAUUACUUAAACUUGACCCCUCGGUAAAUAAGUCUGUCCCCAAU